Molecule: ribosomal RNA, 468 nt
Filed under: uncultured bacterium
Lineage: Bacteria
Description: partial 16S ribosomal RNA
Rfam family: Bacterial small subunit ribosomal RNA
Source: RNAcentral
GACGAACGCUGGCGGCGUGCUUAACACAUGCAAGUCGAACGGAAAGGCCCUGCUUUUGUGGGGUGCUCGAGUGGCGAACGGGUGUGUUACACGUGAGUAACCUGGCCUUGACUUUGUGAUAACUUCAGGAAACCGGGGCUAAUACCGGCUAGGAGCUCCUGCUGCAUGGUGGGCGUCGGACAGCUCAGGAGGUUGUGGAUCGACUCGCGGGUUAUCAGCUUGUUGGUGGGGUACUGGCUUACCAAGGCAUUGAAGGCUAGCCGGCCUGAGAGGGUGGCCAGCGACAUUGGGACUGAGGUACGGCCCAGACUCGUACGGGAGGCAGAAGGGGGGAAUAUUGCACAAUGGGCGGAAGCCUGAUGCAGCAACGCCGCGUGCGGGAUGACGGCCUUCGGGUUGUAAACCGCUUUCGCCUGUGACGAAGCGUGAGUGACGGUAAUGGGUAAAGAAGCACCGGCUAACUACGUG